GACGUAGGGCGCGAGCGUUGUCCGGAUUUAUUGGGCGUAAAGAGCUCGUAGGCGGUCUGUCGCGUCGGCUGUGAAAACCCGGAGCUCAACUCCGGGCCUGCAGUCGAUACGGGCAGACUGGAGUUCGGCAGGGGAGACUGGAAUUCCUGGUGUAGCGGUGAAAUGCGCAGAUAUCAGGAGGAACACCGGUGGCGAAGGCGGGUCUCUGGGCCGAUACUGACGCUGAGGAGCGAAAGCGUGGGGAGCAAACAGG
This 253-nucleotide ribosomal RNA is filed under the name uncultured bacterium. RNAcentral's name for it is "partial 16S ribosomal RNA". It matches the Rfam family "Bacterial small subunit ribosomal RNA", at positions 524 to 776 of the family's 1533-position model. The record is from RNAcentral.